RNAcentral lists this non-coding RNA (223 nucleotides) under Bacillus sp. (in: firmicutes). RNAcentral's name for it is "Bacillus sp. T-box sequence". It matches the Rfam family "T-box leader". From Rfam's summary of the family: Uncharged tRNA acts as the effector for transcription antitermination of genes in the T-box leader family. T-boxes are found upstream of many aminoacyl-tRNA synthetase genes and some amino acid biosynthetic genes usually in Gram-positive bacteria. Lineage: Bacteria; Bacillati; Bacillota; Bacilli; Caryophanales; Bacillaceae. The record is from RNAcentral.
UUAUAGACGUUGAUAAAGGAGUAGUAAUGGUGUAAAGCCUGUUUUGUAGAGAGCUGACGGUCGGUGCAAGUCAGCCAGGUCCAUCAUGAACUCGCCUUUUAGUCGCCGGCAUGAACUGACAGUAGUGCCAGCCGUAUUCCGCGUUAAGGAUGAACGAAGCGAGUGACUUGUCACUAAUGUGGGUGGUACCGCGGGAGAACAUACAUAUCCUCUCGUCCCUUUU